AACCAGUUGCAUAUUUUGAAAAACUUCCACAGAAUAAUCAUUUAGCAGUCAUAAUAUUACAAAAAUAAAGUAACAGAAUAAAUUGCAUGAUUAAAACAAAAUACCUUCUGCUGAAUCACUCUGACUAGGAACACAGCCACUAAGAAGGUUAGUGGACCAGCACUGCCAUGUUUUCAAUUAGUAAGCAUCACUACAGUCAGGCACAAGACCUAUUCCCAGGAGACCAUUCCAUUUUUUAUAGGAAGAUGUGCAAUGCAUAGAUGUCAUGUUAACAUCUUGUGUUUAGUUCCAAAAUACCAUUGUUCUUUUUCCUCUGGGAGAAAAGUUCAAUGGUAAAGUAGAACAGUGAUGGGACACAGCACAUGACUGGCCCACAUCUCUCCCACUAGUUCUAAAACACAACAAAGAGAAAGAUGUGGACUUCACUGUUCAAUACAACAGCCACUAGCCCUAUGUAGCUAUUUAAAACAAGAAUAAUUAAAAUUCAAUAAAAUCUACAUUUUACUUCCUCAGUCACACUUGACACAUUUUAAGUGUUUACUACUUGUUACCAUAUUGGACACUGCAGAUAUAGAACAUUUCUAUCAUCACAGAAAGUUCUUUUGGACAGCCCUGUAUGUGGGAAGUGUUUCUUCUCCCUUUGGUUAGCCAGGGUGUAGGCUGCUUGUGGAAGCAGCUUGGAGAGACAAUUCUUGUCCCAGAAUAUUCCUAGACUGGUGGUGGAGUCACAGAAGGAAGUAAGGUUGUCUUUCUUUGCAUAUGAAAGGGAUGGUCAUUUACAGGGAUCAAAUACACACUCUAGAUUCCACCCAAAUCUAACUGCCAGGAAAAUUAAGGAGGAGAUAAAUGGUGCAUGUGAGGAAGUGGCAAAGUAGAACAUUCUUUAUCCUACGCCCAACCUCCAUACAGGGAUCAUGUCUACCAAGAAAAUAUGUGGGUCUUCAGGCUCCUCCUCUAGAGAAUCCCAGCUCAAGGCAAGUAUGUUGGCAAAGAGGUCAGUGCUGACGAGUGUUUCAUGAGAAAAUCUGCCAUGUCUUCACUCUGCUCACUUGGAGCUGAGCAGUGUUGCUGGAGUUUUGCCAGUGAGAAAGCUAUCAUUUUGAUCUGUUUCAAAUAUUAUGCUCCCGUACAACUAUAUUUUAUAACCAGGGCAUAGACCACUAGUUGUCCACUGAAGAUCCACCAUUAUUGCUCUUACCAAGGAAACUCAGAUUUUGGUUGAAAGCUACAAAAAUUACAUUUCUUGAGCAAUCUUGCAGAUAGUAGUAGCCAGUUACACAGUUCUGGCCAAUACAAGCAAAAGUUGGGCUGCUGAGAAAUGCUUUAAAAGGAUGUGCAUUCAAAUUGCAAGGCUGUGCUUCCCUUUGGGGUGUUUGCCUUCUUGUUGUGGGGGACUGCAGGGAUAAUCUUGGAACCUAGAGGGGAAAGCCAAGGGUUAGAGCCUGAUAUCUGUGAACUACUGACCAAAUUCCAGCAGUUACCUAUCUCCAAUACUCAUCAAAUGUGAGUUACCUGAGAAAAGAACAAAACCUCUAAUUUGGUGAAGCCAAUGUUCAAUAACUUCCUACUCUCUUAUAAAACAAAGGUUAACUAUGAAGAUGUUUAACUUAAACCCAUCCGUGGCUUAGGGAUCUGUCUAUAAAGACCAAGCAGAAGUGAUCAGGUUCAUUAAGUAAAGUAGCUGCUAUUCAAGAAAAUAAGAGGAUUUUUAAAAAGCUUAAUCCAUCAGGAAGCAUUUCUGAGCUCCUAUUAUGUUCUGAUUACUUUCCAAACACAGGUGUCUGUCUGCCUUCUGAAUAUCCAAGUUCCUGUAUUCCUGUAUGGUAAUAUGCUCAGUACUCAAAAUCAGAUCAGCAUUGAACUAUUACUUUAUUUAUUUUGUGUAGACAAAAUAAGAAAUGAAGAAUUUAUUUCACUGAUUCAAACAAACAAAGAAGAAUCUAUAUCAAAGACCUGUAACUCAACUCUUAACUUGCCCUUGCAUGUGACACAGAUAUCUGACAAUGGCAUCUAAUGAUUUUAAUUGUGGAUUUAGUUUAAAUAAGCAUAAGUACCUCAGACUAGCUGCAAAAAUUAAAAACAAAAUGCAGAACUCUGCAGAUACUUUCUAUGUACUAUAUUAGUCUCUUUAGUAUUGUAAAAGUCCCUAGAUUAAUAAGUAUAACUUAGAAAAAAAAACAUUUCCAAGUAUCCUAAAUAGUUUAACCAUUUACAAUGCUUAAAUUUUUAAUCAUUUAAAAUUUAACUCUAAUGCACUUAUUUUGAAACUAUAAACAAAAUUGAGAACAUGGAAUGUCAAGUUAAAAAUAGAGUAUUGUGUAUUUUUUACUUACCUAGUUCCAAGUUUCCACCCCUGCAAGUGAACUAAAAACAAAUCCUGGCACCUUGUCAUUCCCAGAAAAACCCGUGCAUGCAUGGCACACUCUGGGUAAAUUUUAUCUUUCAUUCUGUAGAGUCACACCAGAUGGCAUCAGUCCUGCAUCUACAGCUGUGCCCUAAAAUUGAAGUUCAGGCACAGGAAUCUGCUUUAUUAAACACUUUGGAUUUUGCAAGUGUGCAUGUGUGAUGUCAUUCCCAUUCACCUCAAAAUGGUUAUCUUUUCAAGUGGAACUACAGAUCCAUUGCACUUACAAAUUUGGAAAUUAAUGAAACAAUCAAGAUUGUCCUAAGAAGAUCUGAAGUCAUUUUGAACAGCUGAAAUUUAGAAACAACAAUGAAAUAAGAAAAUCUAAAAUAAAAUAUUAAUACUGAAUUAUAGAAUCAUGGCUCAUUUCCUUUUAAUGUAAGAAAUUCAAUUCACCUUCUA
This 2806-nucleotide long non-coding RNA is filed under the name Heterocephalus glaber (naked mole-rat). RNAcentral describes it as "lncRNA (ENSHGLG00000042268.1)". Lineage: Eukaryota; Metazoa; Chordata; Mammalia; Rodentia; Bathyergidae. The record is from RNAcentral.